GGCUUAUUGAAUAAUAAUUUUAAGUCAAUUCUGCCCAAUGAUUAAAAAAUUUAAUGGCUGCAGUAUAAUUGACUGUACAAAGGUAGCAUAAUCAAUUGUUUUUUAAUUAAGAACUGGAAUGAAAGAGUUAAUGAGAUAUAUACUGUCUCAUAUAUAUAUAAUUAAUUUAAAUUUUUAGUUAAAAUGCUAAAAUUAAUUUAUGGGACGAUAAGACCCUAUAGAAUUUAAUAUUAAUAUAUUGAUUAUAAUUUAAUUAUUAAAUAUUAAUAUUUUGUUGGGAGGAUAAGUAAAUUUAUUAAACUUUAUUUUAAAUAUUAACUUAAAUUAAAGAAUAAAUAUUUUUGAUCUUUUAAUAAAAAUUAAAAGAAUAAAUUACCUUAGGGAUAACAGCGUAAUAUCUUUUUAAAGAUCAUAUUGAAAAAGAUGAUUGCGACCUCGAUGUUGAAUUAAGAUAAAUUUUAAAUGAAGAAAUUUAAUAAUUAAGUCUGUUCGACUUUUAAAAUCUUACAUGAUUUGAGUUCAAAUCGACGUGAGU
This 535-nucleotide ribosomal RNA is filed under the name Bombus lucorum (white-tailed bumblebee). RNAcentral describes it as "partial 16S ribosomal RNA". The stretch from base 383 to 535 matches the Rfam family "Bacterial large subunit ribosomal RNA", at positions 2473 to 2626 of the family's 2925-position model. Lineage: Eukaryota; Metazoa; Arthropoda; Insecta; Hymenoptera; Apidae. The record is from RNAcentral.